RNAcentral lists this ribosomal RNA (497 nucleotides) under uncultured bacterium. RNAcentral describes it as "partial 16S ribosomal RNA". It matches the Rfam family "Bacterial small subunit ribosomal RNA", at positions 28 to 507 of the family's 1533-position model. The record is from RNAcentral.
GAUGAUCGCUGGCUUCGUGCCUAAUACACGCAAGUCGAGCGAACAGACUAAUAGCUUUCUCCUCUAACGUUAGCCGCGAACGGGUUAGUAACACGGGGAUAACCUACCUAUAAGGCUGCAAUCACUGCGAGAAACCGGAGCUGCUGCGGGAUAAUAGAUUAAACCGGAUGGUUCAAUAGUUAAAGACGGUUUUCAUGUCCAUGAUAGAUGGAUCCGCGCCGCAUUAGCUAGUUGGUAAGGUCACGGCUUACCAAGGCAACGAUGCGUAGCCGACCUGAGCGGGUGAUCGGCCACACUGGAACUGAGACACGGACCAGAAUACUACGGGAGGCAGCAGUAGGGAAUGUUCCGCAAUGGGCGAAAGCCUGACGGAGCAACGCCGCGUGAGUGAUGAAGGUCUUCGGAUCGUAAAACUCUGUUAUUAGGGAAGAACAAAUGUGUAAGUAACUAUGCACGUCUUGAGGGUACCUAAUCAGAAAGCCACGGCUAAGUACGUG